GUGCCAGCAGCCGCGGUAAUACGUAGGUGGCGAGCGUUGUCCGGAAUUAUUGGGCGUAAAGGGCGCGUAGGUGGAAUCAUCAGUCUGUUGUAAAAGUGCGGGGCUCAACCCCGUGAAGCGACGGAAACAGCGAUUCUUGAGUGCAGGAGAGGAAAGCGGAAUUCCCAGUGUAGCGGUGAAAUGCGUAGAUAUUGGGAGGAACACCAGUGGCGAAGGCGGCUUUCUGGACUGUGUCUGACACUGAGGCGCGAAAGCUAGGGGAGCGAACGGGAUUAGAUACCCCCGUAGUCC
This 291-nucleotide ribosomal RNA is filed under the name uncultured bacterium. RNAcentral describes it as "partial 16S ribosomal RNA". It matches the Rfam family "Bacterial small subunit ribosomal RNA", at positions 505 to 796 of the family's 1533-position model. The record is from RNAcentral.